This 251-nucleotide long non-coding RNA is filed under the name Paramuricea clavata. The record is from RNAcentral. Lineage: Eukaryota; Metazoa; Cnidaria; Anthozoa; Malacalcyonacea; Plexauridae.
CUUCCAUAAAUAACGACCGGUCCCUAAAUGGUAUUAUAAUCUGAUACAGUCAUCCAAAUAUCAAAAAUUAAAACAUACAUUUCGGCAAGAUUCCAAUCCCAAAUAGUAUAAUUACUGUGGGAUUGGUAUUAUAGUCUGACACAGUCAUCCAUUUAUAAAAAAUUAAAACAUGCAUUUCAGGAAAAUUUCCAAUCCCAACUAGUAUAAUUACUAUGGGAUUGGUAUUAUAGUCUGAUACAGUCACCCAGAUA